AUACAUGACAUCAUAUAAGAUUUUUCCAGGGCUCUGACAGAAUAUAGAGUACUAAACCAAUGAGAAUAUAAAAUUGUUUCCACUACUUCCAGGUGGAACAGGAAUCUUUCAAUGCAAUAUAUUUUCCGCCUAAAAUGAUUUUCCUAAGUAGAAUCAAGAAGAUAGGAAUUUCUAAGUAAAUCAAAUAUCCUAUUCCCAUAGGCUCGAAUGACGACUCAAGAAAAUUGUGCAUGUUCCGAUCUGAACUUAUAAGGUAUGGUAAUCUGGCGACGGGUCGAAAUGAUGACUCUCAAGAAAAUUGUGCACGGUCUGAUCUGAACUUAUAAGGUAUGAUAAUAAUCUGACGGCUGGGUCGAUGCGAUGAUUAUCAAGUUUAUAUUCUCAUUAUGGGCGAUAGAAGCAACCGGAAUUCACUGCCCUUGAUCGGAAAAACUAUAGAAUACCAAUGAGUUAGCGAACUCUUGAAUUGUUA
RNAcentral lists this long non-coding RNA (472 nucleotides) under Triticum aestivum (bread wheat). Its description in RNAcentral is "long non-coding RNA (TAES_LNC001872)". The record is from RNAcentral. Lineage: Eukaryota; Viridiplantae; Streptophyta; Magnoliopsida; Poales; Poaceae.